RNAcentral lists this ribosomal RNA (237 nucleotides) under uncultured bacterium. RNAcentral's name for it is "partial 16S ribosomal RNA". It matches the Rfam family "Bacterial small subunit ribosomal RNA", at positions 99 to 334 of the family's 1533-position model. The record is from RNAcentral.
CGAACGGGUGAGUAACGCGUGAGGAACCUGCCUCAAAGAGGGGGACAACAGUUGGAAACGACUGCUAAUACCGCAUAAGCCCACGACCUGGCAUCGGGUUGAGGGAAAAGGAGCAAUCCGCUUUGAGAUGGCCUCGCGUCCGAUUAGCUAGUUGGUGAGGUAACGGCCCACCAAGGCAACGAUCGGUAGCCGGACUGAGAGGUUGAACGGCCACAUUGGGACUGAGACACGGCCCAG